CUGGCUUCCUUGCUCCUCCGCUUGCAGACAGCCUAUUGUGAGACCUUCUGAUCAUGACUGUAGAGAAAGGAACAGCUACAUCUGCCUAGAGAAAUCCAUACAGAAGAGGGAAAUGCUUGUGCUGAGGCUUGAAAGAGGAGGAAACACUGGCUCCAUGAAGCCUUCAUCGACCCUCAAGGAUUGUCUUGAUUCAAUCCAGUUCAGCAUUUAUUGACAUCUUAUAUUUUUGGUGCUGCGUCAACCCUAUGGGAAAUAUAAGAGAAGGAAAACCCUGUCUCAGCCCUCUGAGAGUGUGUUCUCCAAGGCUUGUGUUGACAUGGUCUACAUGCACUCACUCAUUGAAGUGCUUUGGAAACAGGUUGAUGAUUAUCCUCCAGCCUUUAAAAGCCAUCCAAAUUGACAGUUGCUCAGCCUCAUUUCAAUUAGGAGGUAGUGAAAAUGUGACAAAAUAUAUUAGGCAUGGAAAUUAAAGUGUCUGAUGGUGUAAUACAAAUCCUUUCUUAUGACAAACACAAUCCCCAGGAGUGGUACCACAGCUGAUUCAUUUUUCAUAUGUUUUAGGAAAAGCACAAUUUUUCGAAAAUCUUAAAUUGGCUAUUAUAGGAAUACAUGCCUAAGGGAGACAUAAAUGUAGAUUUUCCUGGCACUAAUAUUUCCUGUGCUCUAGGGAUAAGAAAUCCACAAGAUAUAACUUUAAAAACCUGCUAUGUUGCCUGAAGUUUCUCCAUACCUUCUAUUGCUUAAUUGCUUUUAUUUUAUUGGCUGGUUAAAGAAGAGAAAUGCUAACCUAGUUAUUGGUUUGACUCAGCAGUCUCUCAUGUCUGAAAAAAAAAGCGAUAUGAGUGGGAAGAGCCUUGAAACAAAUUUGUAGUGAGACUCACUGUUCCUCUCUAUCUUGAGGAAUAGAAAUCAGAUUUCAUAGAGUACUUGUAUUUUUACACCUAAAAAAGUCUUCUGAAAUAGAAGGAAAAAGAUCAUGCCAUCUCAGUCAAGGUCAAGAGAGUUUACAUUGGGUCUGCAGGUACCAAGAUGGGAGUAAUGAUAAGACUGAGGACUUCUUGUCACUGGCUCAAAGCACCAAACUCAAUCCUUCUUACUUCAGACACACAAGAAACCAGGAAGGCUUUCACAGCAAUACUUGCCAUUCAGGUUGUUCAAAAUGACUUCCAGAAUGCCCAGCAUUAUUAGGAGAAAGGUACUACCUAAUGAACUUCAUGCUAAACACUCUAUUGAAUCCCAUUUUGUUUCUUCCUGCCACAGUUCCAGGAACCAAACUGAGUCAAAAAGAGAAUACUGAACUAUUUACCAAGUCACAUGACUAAACUAAACUUUAAUGCUAACUGUAAAAACAAGAGGCCUAAUCUCUUGGAUGUGUAUGUUUGGUUUUUGUCUUGCUUUUUUGUUUGUUUGUUUUUGGUUGUUUUGCUUUGGAUUUUUUUGUUUUAUUUUCAUAGUGGUAAUUUCGGCAUUUGCCAAGUGACUAAUACUCUUCGGUAACAUCAGUUUAUGCGGACCCAGGAUCUCUCCUUUCAGAGCAAGUAUGUUCAUGAUUGUUCAGGUAUUUCUGCAGGAUUAGCUGGCCCAGUCGCUUAAAGUUCUGUAUGGUCUACAAAAUACUUUCUCAUUUGUUAUUUCAUAUGAGUCUUGAAAGUGACCUGUGAGAUAGACUGAAAUGUUUGAUUAUUCACAGUUCACAGAUAGGGGCAGCAGACCCAGAGAGCCUAAUUUAGAUUCAGUUAUACUAAUUUAAACCCUAGUAAGUAGUAGAGCUGAGAUUUAAAACUAAGUUUCCCCUCUCCAAGUUCUGAAUUGUUCCCAUGGUACAAGAGGUCGUGUGUGGUGAAAGAAAUCAGGGCUGGGUAUGAGGCCUCUCUGCCAAUGGUUGCCUGCCUGGCUUGGUUGUUUUGCCAGAGAUAAGACCUGACAGAGACAUCAGUGCAUCGGGCAGGAUGAUGACCAGCUUCCCCUUCAAAUGGAUAGGUUUUAGAUACUUAUCUUUAUUUAGUGAGAAUUGGAGAGACUGACUUUCUAAUAACAAAAAUUCCACAUUCCUUUGUUUUGAACAGUAUGUCCACCUUCUUGUCCUAUGACUCCAGUUUCCCCAAGUCAAAAACAUUAAUGACCCUUGUAGACUCAUAUAUUUGGUGAAGACUUUAACAAAAUCUACUGCUUCCAGAAGUAUGGAGGAUGAUCACACUGCAAAUACCCUGCUUCUCAUUGGUCACUUUGAUUUUUCUCUUUUAUUUCCUCUUCUUUGGCAAUCUUGAUUCAAUCCAAUUCAGCGUUUAUUGACAUUAUAUAUUUUUCGGCACUGCAUUGGCCCCGUGGGAGACACAAGAGAAGAAAACCCUGAACCAGCCCUCCCACACAGCCUGCAACUUGAGAAGCCCCUUUGAAUAGACCCCUUGCCCAAGUCUCUCUCUCUCUCUCUCUCUUUCCCCCCCCCCCCCUUCCCUUUUCUCUUUCAGGCCUCAACCUUCCCAACUCUGACACCGUAUUCUCAGGUCUUACACCUCCUGAAAUCUCUCUCCCUUUCUUGGCAGAGCAACUUAAUCUUACCUCAGCCUCUCUCUCUAAGCUUGGAAUCUCCUUCGCAGAAUGAUAUAAACCUUCAGCUAUGUCAAAGACCAUUUUCCUGAGAAUAUCAAUUUUGUUGAACUCAACAAAUCAAAGAACCAACGCUCAGUACCAGACUCUAUCUUCCUUAAAAGGCAGUGAGGAAAUUGUUAAAAUAUACGUGUAAACUUCUUUCUGUUGUAUGGUUAAAUUCACGUAAGAGAGUAAUACAUGUGCUGAGCAGAAGGGGACCAAUUUACACUUUACCAGUUAUGUAAGCAACCAUGCAAUAAAAUUAUUUUAAGUUAACAAACACCACAUUCCUGAUUAAUUGCAAAAUGUCUUAAGUCUCUUUUAAACGAUUC
RNAcentral lists this long non-coding RNA (2921 nucleotides) under Homo sapiens (human). Its description in RNAcentral is "HSALNT0110907". The record is from RNAcentral. Lineage: Eukaryota; Metazoa; Chordata; Mammalia; Primates; Hominidae.